CACCAAGAAGCUAUACCAGCAUUAACCUUUUAAGUUAAAGAUUGGGAGCAUUAAACUCUCCUUGGUGG
This 68-nucleotide transfer RNA is filed under the name Tragelaphus scriptus (bushbuck). RNAcentral's name for it is "tRNA-Lys". Lineage: Eukaryota; Metazoa; Chordata; Mammalia; Artiodactyla; Bovidae. The record is from RNAcentral.